This is a non-coding RNA of Nelumbo nucifera (sacred lotus), 945 nucleotides long. NCBI's taxonomy places the organism in Eukaryota, Viridiplantae, Streptophyta, Magnoliopsida, Proteales, Nelumbonaceae. The record is from RefSeq and is a predicted model, not a curated record.
AUGAGAGUUAUUAUUUCUUAUUUGAUAGCCGGGAAGGCUUUCUCUCUAACUCUACCACUUCACCAGACCGGACUGACACGAUCCGUCGCCGUUCUAAGAUACACCCUUAACCAGACAAGAAGUUGGAAAUGGAUGAUGGAGCAUGAUAUGAUCAUGGAGACUUGGAUCAGUGAUCAGUAGUUGCACACAUGGUUGAGUUUGAGCAGUCUGCAAAUUUCCAACCUUUGGGUGAUGGACCCACUAUGGAGUCAUGAUACCACAUGAGCCCACCAUCCUUGGAGUAAUCGUAAAGUGUUGUGUGUAUCGUACCUUUGUAGUUUCUCAGUCGUCAAGGAUCUUUAUGCAUGCAGUUGCAGACUUGCGGUGCAACCCAAGCCAAAAGAAAGAGAGCUAGCCGGAUCACAACUGAUAACCCAAAAUGAAGAUCAAAACAUGCAAUAAGUUGCUUUUGUCUUUUAAUUAAACAUUUUCUUCUUCUUCUUCAUGAAUAGGGAGUGCCCCUUUAUCAAAUACUAAUGGGUUUUCCCUCUCUGUACGUAAAUGUUUUCGUGGAAAUUAGUUAAUUAAUAUGGGUUCAACUUUGUCUUCACAUGCAGGUGUUAUGUAGCGCAUAAAUCCUACCAAGUGUUUGAGUUAAUUACCCAUUCAAAGUGAACAAGAUAUAAUAAACAGUGCUCGAUCGACCAUCGUCCACACUCCACAGUUCACAGAGAAUGGACAAAAGAAGAGAAAGCUACUGUCAAUGUGGAGAGAUUGGUCUGGCUGCUGUACAUGCAUGCUCAGUUUCCGUAUUUGGGAAAAGGGUCCAACUCUAGCUGUAAUUCCAUUUAAUUGGUAACUGGGUACGAGGGCUCUCCAAUCUCCAUGACAACGAGUCGGAGAGUCACAUGUUAUUCCCUAUACAAAAAAUAUGAAUGAUGAUAGAUAGUCAGGGAAAAUUAAGCA